Long non-coding RNA from Mytilus californianus (California mussel), 414 nucleotides. RefSeq lists it as uncharacterized. The record is from RefSeq and is a predicted model, not a curated record. Lineage: Eukaryota; Metazoa; Mollusca; Bivalvia; Mytilida; Mytilidae. The transcript is spliced from 2 exons.
AAAUGUUUCACAUAAUUCUAUACACUCUUUGACAAACGAACUGGAAUGGAAAAAUCAAGACAGUUCCGUUUUUUCCAGGAAAGGAUCGAGACAGUGCAUUCGGAGCCCCUCGAGAACAAGAGACGAUUGAUGUCAUGUCCAAAAGCCGUAAUUUUAUAAUACUUCUUAGUGACAUUACCAAUGGCACUCAGGAGUGGAAUAAGAAAGAAUGGAAAUAUGCUUGGAAUUAUUACAAAUGGGACUUCAGUCGGAACCUUAUUGUCAUCAAUUACGAUUUCGUAAAAUGCGAUGACAUUGUAAAGAAGUUCUUUCGAGGGUUUUUUACUUUAAGAAAGGUCAUUAACUUCUCGAACUUUGAUAACAAUAUUAAAGAAGAUAUUUUAACAUUACUGAAAUAAAAAAAGUCUUUAUUAC